AUUCAUUCUACCACCAACCAUGUCUCUGGAAGAGGUGUCUGUGGAGGGGAGUGGUCAGCUGCAAGGGAAACGUCUCAGAAAUCCUCAAGUAAAAUUGAUGAGGAGGGACUUGAGCUUGCAGUCUGUCGACAUGGAGUUUUUCUCACCGCUCUCAACAUGUUCAGGGGAGAAAUAUAUGCUUAUCCCCUCUACCUGCAGAACAAGCUGGCAAAUACGCCAAUAAGCUUUUUUGCCAUGGAUGUAACCUGCAAGUACUGGCCUUACCUCAACAAAGUCACAAAAAGCUGCCCGGAGCUCCAGCACCUUCUGAGCAUGAAACCAUUCCUCUCAGUGUUUCAUGCCAAAGCCCAUGAUUUUAAAUGCGAGGUUAAAUGGAGUGGAGCUUACCAGCAAGGGGCCGGAUUGACACUUGGCGAGGAGGUUGAGCAGUGUAACGCCUUCCUCUCUAGGAUUGCUGUGACCACGAAGCACAUGUCCAAAGCAGGUAAGGCCACAAAACGUCUGGAAAGCCAACUUCAGGACCUGGAAAGCAUGAGAAUCCAGCUGGCAGUGACACAGGUUGAAGUUGAGGGCUGGGUCACUGAUAUUAAGGAGUGGGCAGAAGCAACAACAUCCCAAAAGAAUGCCGAUCUUGACGCAGUGAUCAAUAGAAUAGAGGUGCUGGUGGCCAGCAUUAAAAGAAGGUCCCAGCGCCUUUACAAAGACACCGAUGGCAGCAAAGCAUUGGAAAUCUCUCUCCACUCGUGCAGACACACUCAAGGAGAUGUCAUGCCAGCUUUCCAGUGAGGCAUUGAAAAGUGAGCUGUGGGAUCUAAAUGAAGAAGGGAUCAAGGGUUUCCUCAGCUUAACUUUGAGAAAGAAGCAAGAAGUCACCAGAAUGAUGAAGCAUGCAAGAGACUGUUAUGCUAAAGUUUUGACUGGAACAAGUAUGGACUUCCAGAAUGAUUGGGAUGGAUACGACAGUGACUCUGAAUUGUCAGAUGAGUUUUAUGAGCUCUCAAGUGAGAAAUGAGCAUUAAGUCAUUUUUGUUGCAGAGUUUCCUUUUUAUGUUUUAUUUUGUUUAUUUUUUCUCCCACUCUAACAAUGCAGCCCUAUUUCUGAUACCGUAGGGGGUCAGAAAUGUUGCUGUGGG
Cyprinus carpio carpio is the source of this 1133-nucleotide long non-coding RNA. The record is from Ensembl. Lineage: Eukaryota; Metazoa; Chordata; Actinopteri; Cypriniformes; Cyprinidae.